Molecule: long non-coding RNA, 1240 nt
Filed under: Sus scrofa (pig)
Lineage: Eukaryota; Metazoa; Chordata; Mammalia; Artiodactyla; Suidae
Description: lncRNA (ENSSSCG00070017078.1)
Source: RNAcentral
GUGAUUUCUGUAGUCUGAGUCUAUUUUUAGCAUUAUCUUUGCCUAAGAGCAAAUUUGAGAGUAUGUAGAAGUGGCAAGGCACUGGUGAGGAGUGGGGUGUGGGGUGGCACACAGAUGGAGCAUGAACCAAGCAGGGAAAGUUGUGCACAGCAACGGCACUGACCCAGGAAUCUCUUGCUGAGCACAGAGAGGGCAUCUUGUCUGCAUGGGAGUUGUAUGUGGCUGCCGAGCAACCAAAGCAAGGAGAGGAAGGAGAUCUUACAGUUCUCAAAGAGCAAGCAAAUGUCCUCUUUCCAAGCCUCACAUUUAGACUGACUGCUGGCAGAUAGAAAACUUCUUGAAGGAGGCCUCGGCUUUGAAGGUUUGUUGUAAGACCGUAACACCUAACUCAGGGGUGGAAGUGGGUGCUCUGCCUUAGCCUUCCCAUGGUUACACCAAGAGGAUCUGGACGACCACUGCUCCUGAGAGGCCAAUGUUUCUACUUCGUGGCUUUAACCAGUGUGCUCUGGCUGCCAUCUGCACAGACCCGAGAGUCUUUUCUUCCACAGAGGUUUCACCUUCAACUGCCUACAGCAUUUGGUCUCUUCUGGAGGAAUUUAAGAGGUAUCUCUUAUUUUUAUAAUAAUAAUAUUAUUACAGGGAAUUCCCCUCACGGUGCAGUGGAAAUGAAUCUGACUAGGAACCAUGAGGUUACGGGUUUGAUCCCUGGCCUCGCUCAGUGGGUUAAGGAUCUGGUGUUGCCGUGAGCUGUGGUGUGGGUCACAGACGUGGCUCAGACCUGGCAUUGCUGGGACUCUGGUGUAGGUUGGAGGCUACAGCUCCAAUUAGACCCCUAGCCUGGGAACCUCCAUAUGCCAUGGAUGUGGCCCUGAAAAGACAAAAAGACAAAAUAAUAAUAAUAGUAAUAAUAAUAUUACACUAUAGUCACUUAUUCAAUGUAGAAGAAAAAGAGUAUUAUUAUACAUGAAAGCCUUUGGAAAUCAGCAACAGCAAGGCUCUGAAGAUCUGAACAGUAAGAAAUGACUCUUAGAAUCCUUUUUCUAACCCACCACUUAGUUGGAUCCCCAUGUACUUUAUUAGUCAACCAUUUGUAACAAUCUGUUCAACAUCUACCUUCCCCGUUAAACUCUAAGCUCUAUGAUGGCAGAGCUUUUAUCUGUCUUAUUCAUUACUGUAUUCCCAGGACCUAGCGGAAUACUAGGAACACAGUGGAUGAUCAGUAUAUGUUUGUUGAUCAAUG